UACGAAGGGGGCUAGCGUUGCUCGGAAUCACUGGGCGUAAAGCGCCCGUAGGCGGAUCUUUAAGUCAGGGGUGAAAUCCUGGAGCUCAACUCCAGAACUGCCUUUGAUACUGGGGAUCUCGAGUCCGGAAGAGGUGAGUGGAACUCCGAGUGUAGAGGUGAAAUUCGUAGAUAUUCGGAAGAACACCAGUGGCGAAGGCGGCGCACUGGUCCGGUACUGACGCUGAGGUGCGAAAGCGUGGGGAGCAAACAGG
RNAcentral lists this ribosomal RNA (253 nucleotides) under uncultured bacterium. Its description in RNAcentral is "partial 16S ribosomal RNA". It matches the Rfam family "Bacterial small subunit ribosomal RNA", at positions 524 to 776 of the family's 1533-position model. The record is from RNAcentral.